AUAAGCGCCGGUAAGGUGAUAUGAACCGUUAUAACCGGCGAUACCCGAAUGGGGAAACCCAGUGUGAUUCGUCACACUAUCAUUAACUGAAUCCAUAGGUUAAUGAGGCGAACCGGGGGAACUGAAACAUCUAAGUACCCCGAGGAAAAGAAAUCAACCGAGAUUCCCCCAGUAGCGGCGAGCGAACGGGGAGGAGCCCAGAGCCUGAAUCAGCAUGUGUGUUAGUGGAAGCGUCUGGAAAGGCGCGCGAUACAGGGUGACAGCCCCGUACACAAAAGCGCAUGUGCUGUGAGCUCGAUGAGUAGGGCGGGACACGUGGUAUCCUGUCUGAAUAUGGGGGGACCAUCCUCCAAGGCUAAAUACUCCUGACUGACCGAUAGUGAACCAGUACCGUGAGGGAAAGGCGAAAAGAACCCCGGCGAGGGGAGUGAAAAAGAACCUGAAACCGUGUACGUACAAGCAGUGGGAGCACCCUUUGGGUGUGACUGCGUACCUUUUGUAUAAUGGGUCAGCGACUUAUAUUCUG
This 526-nucleotide ribosomal RNA is filed under the name Salmonella enterica subsp. enterica serovar Enteritidis. Its description in RNAcentral is "partial 23S ribosomal RNA". It matches the Rfam family "Bacterial large subunit ribosomal RNA", at positions 71 to 637 of the family's 2925-position model. The record is from RNAcentral. Lineage: Bacteria; Pseudomonadati; Pseudomonadota; Gammaproteobacteria; Enterobacterales; Enterobacteriaceae.